GCCAUGUCGCGUGAAGGAAGACGGCCCUACGGGUUGUAAACUUCUUUUGUAAGGGAAUAAAAAGUCUUACGGGAUAAGACGUUGCAGGUACCUUACGAAUAAGGAUCGGCUAACUCCGUGCCAGCAGCCGCGGUAAUACGGAGGAUCCGAGCGUUAUCCGGAUUUAUUGGGUUUAAAGGGUGCGCAGGCGGCAUGUUAAGUCGGCGGUGAAAUUUUGCAGCUCAACUGUAAAAGAGCCUUCGAAACUGGCAAGCUUGAUUGUGGAUGAAGUAGGCGGAAUUUGUGGUGUAGCGGUGAAAUGCAUAGAUAUCACAAAGAACACCGAUUGCGCAGGCAGCUUACUAAACCAUAACUGACGCUCAUGCACGAAGGCGUGGGGAUCAAACAGGAUUAGAUACACUUGCUAAGUCAAGUCA
Molecule: ribosomal RNA, 416 nt
Filed under: uncultured Proteiniphilum sp.
Lineage: Bacteria; Pseudomonadati; Bacteroidota; Bacteroidia; Bacteroidales; Dysgonomonadaceae
Description: bacterial SSU rRNA
Rfam family: Bacterial small subunit ribosomal RNA
Source: RNAcentral